GAUGGACGCUGGCGGCGUGCUUAACACAUGCAAGUCGAACGAAGCAUUUACGACAGAUUUCUUCGGAUUGAAGUUGUUUAUGACUGAGUGGCGGACGGGUGAGUAACGCGUGGGUAACCUGCCUUGUACUGGGGGAUAGCAGCUGGAAACGGCUGGUAAUACCGCAUAAGCGCACGGUGCUGCAUGGCACAGUGUGAAAAACUCCGGUGGUAUAAGAUGGACCCGCGUCUGAUUAGCUGGUUGGUGAGCUAACAGCCCACCAAGGCGACGAUCAGUAGCCGACCUGGGAGGGUGACCGGCCACAUUGGGACUGAGACACGGCCCAGACUCCUACGGGAGGCAGCAGUGGGGAAUAUUGCACAAUGGAGGAAACUCUGAUGCGGCGACGCCGCGUGAGUGAAGAAGUAAUUCGUUAUGUAAAGCUCUAUCAGCAGGGAAGAUAGUGACGGUACCUGACUAAGAAGCUCCGGCUAAAUACGUGCCAGCAGCCGCAGUAA
RNAcentral lists this ribosomal RNA (497 nucleotides) under uncultured bacterium. RNAcentral describes it as "partial 16S ribosomal RNA". It matches the Rfam family "Bacterial small subunit ribosomal RNA", at positions 28 to 523 of the family's 1533-position model. The record is from RNAcentral.